This 468-nucleotide ribosomal RNA is filed under the name uncultured bacterium. RNAcentral describes it as "partial 16S ribosomal RNA". It matches the Rfam family "Bacterial small subunit ribosomal RNA", at positions 28 to 507 of the family's 1533-position model. The record is from RNAcentral.
GACGAACGCUGGCGGCGUGCUUAACACAUGCAAGUCGAACGGAAAGGCCCUGCUUUUGUGGGGUGCUCGAGUGGCGAACGGGUGAGUAACACGUGAGUAACCUGCCCUUGACUUUGGGAUAACUUCAGGAAACUGGGGCUAAUACCGGAUAGGAGCUCCUGCUGCAUGGUGGGGGUUGGAAAGUUUCGGCGGUUGGGGAUGGACUCGGGGCUUAUCAGCUUGUUGGUGGGGUAGUGGCUUACCAAGGCUUUGACGGGUAGCCGGCCUGAGAGGGUGACCGGCCACAUUGGGACUGAGAUACGGCCCAGACUCCUACGGGAGGCAGCAGUGGGGAAUAUUGCACAAUGGGCGGAAGCCUGAUGCAGCAACGCUGCGUGCGGGAUGACGGCCUUCGGGUUGUAAACCGCUUUCGCCUGUGACGAAGCGUGAGUGACGGUAAUGGGUAAAGAAGCACCGGCUAACUACGUG